RNAcentral lists this small RNA (853 nucleotides) under Pan troglodytes (chimpanzee). Its description in RNAcentral is "retained intron". Lineage: Eukaryota; Metazoa; Chordata; Mammalia; Primates; Hominidae. The record is from RNAcentral.
GGCUCCCGGCUCGCCGCCAUCUUGUAUUGGGGUUUCAUUGUUCCCGCUGGGCCGGGCGGUUUAGUGUAAUUGCCGCCGGAGGAGGAGGCGGAGUAACCUCUGGUCAGCCGAGAAACCCCACUAUCCCGUAGCCAUAACCGCUUAAACGAUUUGGGAGGUAGUGAAGGGCAGGGAGCUGGACCUGGAGGCGCCGCCGCGACAGCAGCAGCCAUGGAGGACGAGAUGCCCAAGACUCUAUACGUCGGUAACCUUUCCAGAGAUGUGACAGAAGCUCUAAUUCUGCAACUCUUUAGCCAGAUUGGACCUUGUAAAAACUGCAAAAUGAUUAUGGAUACAGCUGGAAAUGAUCCCUAUUGUUUUGUGGAGUUUCAUGAGCAUCGUCAUGCAGCUGCAGCAUUAGCUGCUAUGAAUGGACGGAAGAUAAUGGGUAAGGAAGUCAAAGUGAAUUGGGCAACAACCCCUAGCAGUCAAAAGAAAGAUACAAGCAGUAAGUAUAUUUUAUGCUCUUUGAACAUUUGUUUUUAUUGUACCCAGUAGUUUUAUUGUAAAGCCUAUAAACAUCAUACAUGUUUGCAGUAAUGUUUUGAUCGUUAUCCUAAGAUAUGAUUGAAUGUGUUUGUGUUAAUAAAUUUAAGAACAAAUCUAAUCUUUGUCAUCAGGUAGUACCGUUGUCAGCACACAGCGUUCACAAGGUAAUUGUAUCUUCUUAAACAUAAAAUGAAAUCUCUUGAAAGGGUAUUCACUAACCACCUGAAGUUUUUUUGUUUGAUAUUUGGGGGAGGGGGGCGGGAGGAGAUAUUAUUUCUAUUUGUCUCUCUAGCAAUACUUUUCUCCCUUCUCAGUGUUGACCAAG